This 279-nucleotide ribosomal RNA is filed under the name uncultured bacterium. Its description in RNAcentral is "partial 16S ribosomal RNA". It matches the Rfam family "Bacterial small subunit ribosomal RNA", at positions 506 to 784 of the family's 1533-position model. The record is from RNAcentral.
UGCCAGCCGCCGCGGUAAUACGAAGGGGGCGAGCGUUAUUCGGAAUUAUUGGGCGUAAAGGGCUCGCAGGCUGCUUGAACAGUUAGACGUGAAAUCCCCGGGCUCAACCUGGGAACUGCGUUUAAUACUAGCAAGCUAGAGAAAUAGAGAGGAAAGUGGAACUCCCAGUGUAGAGGUGAAAUUCGUAGAUAUUGGGAAGAACACCAGUGGCGAAAGCGCUCUACUGGACCAUUACUGACACUCAGAGGCGAAAGCUAGGGUAGCAAAAGGGAUUAGAUA